This 759-nucleotide long non-coding RNA is filed under the name Lotus japonicus. RNAcentral's name for it is "long non-coding RNA (LJAP_LNC001408)". The record is from RNAcentral. Lineage: Eukaryota; Viridiplantae; Streptophyta; Magnoliopsida; Fabales; Fabaceae.
AUGAGAACAAUUUCGGAAAGUAAAAGUUAGAUAAAGUCAUUUCACUGAGUUGAAGUUAGAGAAAACAAUAUUGCAAUGUCAAUGUUGGGGGAAAGCUUUUCGUAAAGUUCAAGUUAGAUAAAAUAUUUCACAAAGUUAGAGUUAGAGAAAAUCAUGUCAUAAAGUCAAUGUUAGACAAAAGUAUUUCAAAAAGUCAAGGUUAGAUGAAAUCAUUUCGAAAAGUUGGAGCAAAAGAGAGCUAUUUCGCAGAGUCAAUGUUAAAUAAAACCAAUUUGCAAAGUCAAUGUUAGAGAGAGACAUUUGACAUAGUUGGAGUUAAUGAGAACAAUUUCGGAAAGUAAAAGUAAGAUAAAAUCAUUUCACAUAGUUAAGUUAGAGAAAACAAUUUAGCAAUGCCAAUGUUAGGGGAAAGCUUUUGGUAAAGUUCAAGUUAGAUAAAAAUAUUCCCCAAAGUUAGAGUUAGAGAGAAUCAUGUCAUAAAGUCAAUGUUACAUAAAACCAAUUUGCAAAGUCAAUGUUAAAGAGAAACAUUUGACAUAGUUGGAGUUAAUGUGAACAAUUUCGGAAAGUAAAAGUUAGAUAAAAUCAUUCACCAAGUUGAAGUUAGAGAAAACAAUUUAGUAGUGCAAAUGUUAGGGGAAAGCUUUUCGUAAAGUUCAAGUUAGAUUAAAAUAUUUUCCAAAGUUAGAGUGAGAGAAAAUCAUGUCAUAAAGUCAAUGUUAGACAAAAGUAUUUCGAAAAGUCAAGGUUAGAUGAAAG